This is a long non-coding RNA of Talpa occidentalis (Iberian mole), 3247 nucleotides long. RefSeq lists it as uncharacterized. Lineage: Eukaryota; Metazoa; Chordata; Mammalia; Eulipotyphla; Talpidae. The record is from RefSeq and is a predicted model, not a curated record. The transcript has 10 exons.
CCUGGAGCGGCGUCCCCUCUCACGCUCCCGGGCGUGGGGACGAGGCUUCUUCCGGUGGAAAUGACUCCUUCACCCAGAGGCGGGGUCGGUGUGGGUUCUCCGCCGCAGGCGGGGACCAGAGAGCUUCGCCCCACCGUUUCUCCUUAGGCUUAAGUUCACCAAGAUGAUGUCAUUACUGUAAUGGGAUGCAGCAUACCACCCUCAAUCCCUUUGCCUCUGGAAGAAACCAGACUGCAGAGGGCAGAGUACAAAACUAAUGGAACUCAGAAUGGGAAGACAAAAAGAGCAGAAAUGGCUAGUGUGACCCAACAUGCCUGUUACAUCAAAUAUGGACUCCGCAAGCACUGGAUGUUAAAACCAAGAGCAUGGGGAAACCACUCAUAUAUGCACCGGCCAGAGGCUCUGCCCCAGAUGAGAGAAACUGGGAUUCACACAUGUUCUGCCUGCUUCUAAACUUCAGGGACAUCUGAAACAGGAGGCAGGCCCAGAUGGAGGUCCCCUCCCCAUUCAAGGGGCAAGAACUCACUGCAAGUUGCCUUGGAUUCAUCGGAGCCAUCAGGACACUCCUCCUCACCAUCACAUUUCCACCGCUCAGGGAUGCAGUGGCCAUUGUCACAGGUGAAGUCACUCUCUGAGCAGGUCUUCUUGGCUGCAGAGAAAGGAGAAGAAUGUGAAGGGCCAGGGAGAAGAAAACAAAAGGCUCUGAAAGGAGAAACAAGAAACUAUAAUGUGUGAAGAACGUAACAGAUCCUGGCACACAGCAGAUUCAGGUUGGUUCCAGCAGGAGGUGUGAGCAUAACUUUCUCGGGAGAAACUACCCCAGUGCCUUGCCCCUCCCCACCAGCUCUCCUUCAUCACACUGACCAGCCCCGACAGCCUGCAGCUGUGCCAACAACAAGCAGCUCGGAUUCUGGGACCUCCAGUAUGAUUUAGUGAGCCCGAGUUCCCAUCAAAAACUGUGGCGAUGAAGCCUGUCCUGCAGCACAGCUGGUCUUAAGAUGUGAUUCAUCAGCGCCUGGGCCGAGCCCUUAGAAACACGCAGCGUGGAAGUUUCUCCCACUUUUCUCAAUUGCUCCUCCACCUGCAGGCUAUAUAUCUAGUAGGAUUUACUAUAACCCACUGCACAGAUGAGGAAACCAAGAUAUUGAGAGGGGAGUGCUUCUGCCCAAGGUCACACAGAGUCACGGUCAAGAGGGCUAAAGGGACCACGGCCACCCACUACAUUUACUGGAGAGUCCCUGGAAGCAUCGGAAGAGCCAGUAAGGAGCUGACUGCUGUGGGACCAUGGGCCCAGUGUCCCCAUCUGUACAACUGGUCUGGCAAAGCCUGCCAGGCACAUCCCCCAGGGGAUACCGGGAGCACAGAGGCAACACGUAGAGAAGGCUCCGAACAUCACCAGUGUCUGUGCAAGGUCAGUGGCUGAUAUCGGGGCUUCUUCCUACUCAAUGCAGAAUAAAGACCCCAGCGCUGCCUCCUCUUGGGAGAAGUGAGGCCAGAAUGGGACGUGAACAGACCAAAAAAGUGCCACGAAGAAGUUGAAUAGCAGCAGGCAGUGACUGAGGUGAUGGUCCUCACUGCGGGAACGUGAGGCUGAACACUGAAGAGUCUCCAGCACGGCCGAAAUAAAGGCCUUUGUGGCACCUCAAGGCCAGUGGCCAGCAGAGGACAGUGAGCACAGGAUCACGCCCAUGGUCUCCGGGACAGGCAGUCCUCAGAGAAGCUUUGAGCUCUGUCCUGCUCCCCACCCCCAGUUCCAAGAGGCAUGUAUGUGCAGGCACUGAGGGGCCACGGGAACUGCAUUAGGCCUGGGGUCCCCAUGGCCCUGGCUCACUGGAUGGCUCUCCCCGUCACCAGAGGGUAUUUGGGGGGCCUGACAGUAUGCUGGGUUCUGCACCCCCAAAGUGGCUGGGCUGGGUCCUGCCAGGGACACAGAGGUCAGACCAGAUGCAGAGGGCAGGGAGCUCAUAGUCGGGGCCCCUCCUGAGCUGCUGUGGCCAAGAGGCUAUUCCUGAGGGUCAGGGUCUGUGACAUGCAGCAGCUUGUAAGAAGAGCUGGGUAAACACGGCUGAUAAUUGAAACAGCUGCCCGGGGCUCAGUUCACGCCAGAGGACACUCAGGUGCCAGAACUGCUCAGGAAGGUGCCAGUACACCUCCUGGCAGCGGCCGAGGGUAGAAAGGAAAGUAGGCCUGGCACACCCUGCACCCGCUGACAUUGUUGUGAGUGGGAUGUGGGGUGUGUAUCUCCUCCUUUCCCUCGCGUCGUACUCUAGCCCGACAAGCAUGGCCCAGUCCGGCCCCUGCUGGCCACGUUGAAAAGGCCUCACCUUUUAGAGGUUGGCUCUGGCUUCAGUGAGUGCACUGGUGCUACUCAAGACACUGGCUGAAGGGGUUUUGCAGGAGAAAGCCCUCAGCAGUGAGUGCGCUCAUUAACUCACACCGCAAUCAACACGGUUAUUUUAGAUGAGCUCCCCAGGGAUUCAGGGGCCAGCAGGCAGGGCCCAGCCAAGGGCUGGCAUGCCCCAGAGUGGGAGACCAAUGUCUUUUCUGCAUGCAAGAGGCCUGUGCCUGGCCCUCUGCCUAAGAAUACCUCAUUCCCAUAUCCAGCAGGAAAGCGAGGGCAAGGGUGGCCAUUGAGAAUGGCAGAGGUUGGGAGGCGGCAGCAUAGGGAUUUGAGUCCCUCCAGGAACUGAGGACACCCUAGUUCCUAUAAUAGGUCCAUGUGGCUACUUGGAGUCAAUUUUUGUUCUCCAGGACCUUGUUUUUCCCUUCUCAUGCCUGGGGCUAGAAAAGUUCCAAGCUUGCAGGGUGAAUGCGGAGAAGCUGACGUGUGAGGAUCCAGCCCACCGCCCCCAAGUCAUGAGUGCUCUGGGCUUCAGGUAACCUAGAUCACAAGGGGAGCCUGACUAUGGUUCCUGAAGGACACCCAGCUUCCUUCUGUAACCUCAAGGGCCCUUAUGGCUUUCUCUCACACCGUCCCCCAAAUGCCUCUCUCCCAGCUCCGUGGUCAUGUGGUCCCCUCUUCAAACGGCUCACAGACACUUCCAAGCAGCUGGAGCUCGUAUGGUGGACUGUGACAGGGCGCACAAAGCCCUGGGUACAUCAGGCCCACCAGGUCGAUGAGGAAGGCUUCAUGGAGGUGGCAUUGGGCUGGGUUUUGAAAGAUGGGUAGGAAUCAGAGAAGGACAAUCCAAGGCAGAGGGAAAAUCAUGUGUCAAGUCAGGGAACUGCAUGGGGUGGGGGGUGGGGA